This is a non-coding RNA of Triticum aestivum (bread wheat), 122 nucleotides long. The record is from Rfam. NCBI's taxonomy places the organism in Eukaryota, Viridiplantae, Streptophyta, Magnoliopsida, Poales, Poaceae.
AAUCUACUCCCUCCAUCCCAAAAUUCUUGUCUUAGAUUUGUCUAAAUACGGAUGUAUCAAGUCAGGUACAUCCGUAUCUAGACAAAUCUAAGACAAGAAUUUUGGGACGGAGGGAGUAUUAG